CCUUCAUUUUUUCGGCAAAUAAACGGUCCAAGUUUGGUCCAAAAUGGAUAUCUCUAGUUGUUUGCAUUUGAUUGAGUGAGUGAGUUUUUUAUUUUGUAUUUAUUCCAUUGCCAUUUAGCAUCACAAAAGGGACGAGUUUUACUUAACUUUGGCGCCUUACGACUCAAAUCUCAAGCUCAAUAGCUUAUAGUGAAAAUAGAAGAAGUAGCUCCAUUUUGUAAGAGUUUAAUUAUUAUUUUUUUGAUAGUUAAUAAGAAUUUUAUUACCAAGCAUAGGCACAACCCAAGUACAUAGGAAGUAUACAAAGGAAAUACGUACUACACAAUAGAAAGCAGGAAACUACGAAAGAAAUAGAUUUAGUACAUUAUCAUCAAACCUUACAAAGAUCCUAGCCCACAAACUCAAAGAAGAAAAGAAAAAAUAGCGAAGAUCUUCAAAAGAAUGUUGUUUAUCUUCAAAGCAUAUUCCAUUUCUUUCUAGCCAAAUACACCACAUUAGGCAUAAUGGAAUCAUUCUCCAUCUAGCAGCAACACUUUUCCUUGCCUCAAAAACACAUCAACAAGCAAGGAGAUUCACAACUUCCUUGGAAGAGUUUAAUUAUAAGUUGCUAGGGUGAAAUAAGGCAAGUGUUGAUCUAAUUAUAGGUUGCUUACAUCACAAACCCCCUUUCAUAGGUGUCUCUGAUCUUCCCUCUUGCAUAUGUGAAUGUGUUAGUAUUGUCCAACCCUUAGGCCUCGUUUGUUUUUGAAGAUGAGAUUUUUUUAGAUUUCUGUGAAUGGUAUUGAGAUAUUUGAGUUGAGAUGAGAUAACAUGAUUUCUAAAAUAUGAGUGUUUGUUUAUAGAGUUGAGAUAAUUUUUGGGAUCACUAAAAGAAAAACCACCUAUUGCGGCGAUUUUUAUAUUGUUGCAAAAACAAUCGCCACAAUAGGUCACUUUUUGCAACGAUUUUAGAAUUGUCGCCGCGUUUUUACAUUGACAGUCAAUUAAAAGUGGGUGGUCCCCUAAUUUUUGCAUUUGCAGUGGAUAAUAGUGUUGUUGCAGCAAAAUCUUUCGCUGGGAGAAGUAAAAACCUGUUGCAACACAAAGAAUUGUCGGGAUUAGGUUUCGGGUGCCAAAAUCGCACGAAAUGUUUGAUAUUUCCCUGAGUUAUUUCCUUCUCCACUUCUAUCCGUUCUUCCCCAUUCUUGAGUACCUAGUUCCUAUUACCUGCUUACUCCACCCACCCCCGAACGAUUUCAUCUCCAUUUUCGAUCACGUCCCAAAACUUUCUCCUCCACCCCAUUUUCCUCCCAUGGAAGCUAUGGUCGAACUUGUCUCCUCCCCAUACUAUGCCGUGCGAUUCGUCCUUUGGGCAGUUGGAUUUUUUCAUAGAUUUCUCAGUAUCAGAGGUCGGUAUUUGUUAUUUGAGACUCUUGGGUACCUUCCAUCACCACAGGUGGGGGGAAAAAGGACGGUGUUGCAUUCAAGUGGGGUAAAAAGUGAUCGCCCCCAAAUAAGAGAGUUGGUCCCUGAGCAUAGAGGCUUCACUCACAUUCAUCCCUAUCAAGGUAAUGAGAUGGGAGAAAGUUCCCGAGGAAGAGGGGCUGGACGAGGUAUUCGUGCCAGACGAUUUGUACCGUACUCAUGUAGAGCUCGCCGACCACCAGGAAUUUGUAUUGCUUCAUACCACAGUCCUUCAGAUGUGGAUCAGUCAGGCUCGGAUGACUCAACACAGCCUCCCAGUCAUCCAUGGGAGCCUCCAUGUCCCAUUCCAAUGCCCCCACCUGAUCCCAAUAGAGAACCAUCACUCGCAAGAGAACUCGAACCUAACGGAGAAGAAAUUGAUGUGACAGCCCCCGCGGUGCCUGUAGCAAACCAGGAACAACCCAAACGUAGACGUGGGCCUGCUAAGUGCAUUGAGUUUGAGAAGUUGAGGAAGCAUGGAAAAGUGCUUUUGAAGAUUAAUGAUGGCGAAACAGCACCGUGUUGUGAGAACGCAUCCAUGUUCACAGCACGGGUAACGCAAAUAGUAAAACGGCAUUGCGACAUGAGUUAUGCAAGAUGGACAAAUGUGCCGUAGGCACAAAAGGACGAGCUAAUCUACUGUGUUCGGAUUGGGAUCUGGAGAAUCACAGAUUGACAGUCUUGAAGCAGCUGCGUAAGCGGUUCAAUGCAUUCCAUCACGAAUUACACAAAAAAUAUUUAUCAUACGAAAGUCACGAAGAAGCAUUGGCUUCUGGGAGUUGUAUGGUCGAUCCCGUUGUCUGGGUUAAGCUGUGUGGGAGGUGGGGAAGCGAUGACUUCAAGAAAAUCUCGAGACAAAAUCGGGAGAAUAGAAAGAGGCUAACCAUUAACCACACAGCAGGCCGCAAAUCCUUUGUUAGAUACUGGAGGAGAAGACUCAUGUUUCUGAUUGAACAUCUACCUAUACAAAUUCCACACACUUGUGGCGGACUAUGAAUGCGAAUUUGGUGGAGUUCUAUAAGGAGACUCGUUGGUCAAAGAAGAAUAGUAAAUUUGUCACCUCAGCCUCUGAAGACACUUAUAAGGAGAUGGUUGGCAAGCUGAAUGAUCUAGAACCUGAACAACGUACUGAUGAGGCAGCAGCGAGUGUAUUUAGGAAGGUACUUGGUCAUAGACCAGGAUAUGCAAGGGGGCUAGGAGAGAUGGCCAUCCCAGAGUCGACAAGACAACGGAAUCGUGAAAGAGAAAAAGAGUACCUUGCCUUAAUUGAAAAACACAAAAAAGAUGCCGACAAUUACAAGACGCAGCUUGAUGAAAUGAGGGAUGAAAUGCGAGUACUUCGUGAGAGGCAAAAUGAAAUUGAUAAGAUGUUGAAGACAUUCUUCUACAAGUUCCCGUCUUUCACUGAGUCUCUCCGUGGAGACACUCAGUGAGCUACCUUCAGAAAUCAUGGGAAGGGCUUUUUUGUGAAUCGGUGGGCACUUUUUGGUAGUGGGAGAUGGUGGGUGGCUAAGAUAUAAAUAUAUUUUCACACACACGUAUAUAUAUAUUUAUACGAAGAAGAAGGUUGUCUACUUUUGUAUUGUGGGAGACCUUGGGCAGUUGAGGGAUUUUUUGGGCUUGACUGUAUGAAAGUUUGGUUAUAUCCUGAUGAGUUCUUCCAAUUAUCUAGACAGCCAUUGGGUAAGUAUCUGAUUGGCAUGGGCUUAAAAGAAUUGCAACACCUUGAACAGCAAUUAAGUGAAGGAUUAUUGUCAGUGCAGGAGAUGAAGGUUCUAUAGAAGUUAUGUUUUCCUUUGAUUCCUUAUCCUAGAUUUUAUUUUACACAUUAAUUUUUUUUCAAAUAUCAUAUUUUGUGAUUAUAAUUAAUAUUUAAUUUUCUGAGAAUAGGACAAGCCUUAACAAACCGUUCAAUCAAUUUAGGAUCAAUUAUUGGAGCAGCUGGACCGCAAUCUAGAAUGCAGGCUUGGACAUACAUUCUGCUAGCAUAUGAGAUGAGAUGUCACAUUAGGGUUAAUUCAUUUUUUGUUUAUAACAAAACUUGAAGGAAGAGUUACACAAUGUAGAAAGUGUAAUCUAUAGCUUUGACACUCUUUUGCUUGAUCUUCUCAGUGGAAAACAUAUACCUCCAAGUCAUUGUAGAGCAAAGGUUGAAAUUGUACGAUAAGAUGGAGAGGGAUUUGGAUGAGAAGGGGGCGGCUUUUCUUAAACAUGGUGAAACAUCUCAGUCCUUGUCACUUUCGGAUAUUUUCACUUUGAAGGAUGGAUCUGUAACACCUGUACUUAAAGCAGCAAACCCUCCCGUUCGGGCUAAUGUUUUGUAUCUGAGCACAAAAUACUCGUUGCCCAUCUCUUAUAGAGAUAGAAUGCUUCUCGGCCCAGCAGUUCUUAAAGCAGAAUCCAACAGCUAAUAAGGGAGCCAGCAUACUGUUGAUCAACAUCUUCACCUGUCAUCCUUUUUUGGUUAGUUAUAGAAAGGGUUUGACCACCUUCCAAUCUACUAUUAAUUAGGAGUUGCAUCUUUCAGGGAAAAAUCAUCAUAACUGAAUGGAUUUAUAGACUAAUUACGAAAUUUUUCAUUUGUGUAAGCUAACAUUGGUACCUGUUGGUUGGUGAUGAAAAGUAGGGUAUGUUACCUUAAGUUUGAUUGGCGGUGACAGUCCCAUUAAUGAUUAGUUUGAGAUUAGUUGAAUUUAGUUCAACAAUCAAACACAAUAAAUUUAAGGGUUCUCUAUACACUUGAGGCUUAGUCGUUUGGUUUUGUUUUUUUAUAAGCCCCAACAUGUAAAAUAAUUCACGUUUGCUUACAUGCUUAUGCUUCCGUCGUUGACAUUACGUUGGUUUAAACGUAAUAUUACAAUGUUUUUAUUUUUUAUUUUUA
Carya illinoinensis is the source of this 4324-nucleotide RNA transcript. RefSeq lists it as uncharacterized. Lineage: Eukaryota; Viridiplantae; Streptophyta; Magnoliopsida; Fagales; Juglandaceae. The record is from RefSeq and is a predicted model, not a curated record. The transcript has 12 exons.